This is a long non-coding RNA of Pan paniscus (pygmy chimpanzee), 3414 nucleotides long. The record is from Ensembl. NCBI's taxonomy places the organism in Eukaryota, Metazoa, Chordata, Mammalia, Primates, Hominidae.
CAGCAGCUGGUAGAAGGUUCCUCUUAGAGUGAGAGAACUGCCUUGCUUUUGAAAACUCUUUGAUAUGCCUUCCGCCGGCAGCAGCUCCAGAUAAAGAAUGCAGAGUAUGUGCUUCGGUGUCACAAACUGUGCCUGGCCACCAUCCAUCAUCCUGUCAAGACAUCACUCCAGACAGCCCGGCUUCAAGCAGAACCAGGUUGGGGAUUUUCCUCCCAAGAAUAAUAAACAGCAGCUAAGUCAGGGCGUGGAGCAGCAAAAGUCACCAACCCUCAUCCAGUUCGAGAAGCCUCUAAAUGUCACAGUAAGUUUAUGCAACCCUUGGCAGGUAGGAUAUGGAGAUUGGAAUAGCAAAAAUUCUUUGCAAGUAGAGAGCAUUUAUAAAAUUCAUCCACGUACCUUAUCCUGUUGAUCUUUACGGCCACCCUAUAAGGCAGGGAUUGUAUUCCCCAGUUGCCAGUUGAGCUGAAUGAGACUCAGAGAAGUUAAGUGAGUUCUCCAAGGUCACAUAGAGUCAGGGGAAGUUGGGGUCUGCUCCCAGUUCUUUUGACUCUAAAUCAUACACUCCUGGUACUCCUUAUGUUGCAGCUAUUCUUUCUUCCCCAUACUCCUCCUCUCCUCAAACUGUGUCUCUCUGUUGCUAUCUGUCUUUCCAUACCUAGUCCCGAGCAUACAGUGAAGGUCUGACCAUCUCAGAAGCUGCAUGGAGGGAGGGUCUGGCCAUCUCAGAAGCUUCAUGGAGGGAGGGGCUGGCCAUCUCUGUAGCUGCAUAGAGGGAGAGUCUGGCCAUCUCAGAAGUUCCAUGGAGAGAGGGGCUGGGCAUGUCACUGGCUGCAUGGAGGAGGGGCUGGCCAUCUCAGAAGCUGCAUGGAGGGAAGGGCUGGCCAUCUCAGAAGCUGCAUGGAGUCGGGGUCUGGCCAUCUCAGUGGCUGCAUGGAUUGGGGGACUGGCCAUCUCUGUAGCUGCCCUUGAUUGUCUCCAGAGAGGCACUGACUGAUCAUCGGCGAGUCUGCCUUCCCCUCCUCUGAAUCAUAACCAACCAGGAUCAGCGAGGCUGGAGCUAUGAGGGGGUUGCUUAGAGUGAUCUAGUUCUCCUCUUUGAUUGGAUAGAUCCAGGAGCCAGCUGAGGCCAGCACAGUUCUCUCCCUAGUGAAUGUGACAAUAGGCCUGGGUCCUGAUUCCCCACAUCCUACUGCCAAACAUGAUGCACCCAUCAUCUCCAACCAAGAGACAGGGAUCAGAGACUCAACAUGUUAGCAAACUACAACUCACCCACAUGCAAGCCAGCUGUCCAAUGGGAAUUCUCCUGAUUGAGUGAGGGGGUGGACUGAGGUUUCACACUUGCUUCCUCCAGUGAUGCAGAGCACCAUUUCCAAACCCAAAUAGUCCUCUGGCUCCCAAAAUGAGGGAGAAGACAGGAGGGGAAGGAGGAGCUAAGCUGCACCCAUUAUCAGUGAGCACAGGUGCAGGAGAGAGGGGGUGCCAGACACAUCUCCACCUCCAUCCCUGGAUCUGUGAUUGACAGGCGCUCAUGUAAUUCAUAGAGGCCAAAGGGGAUGAGGUAGACAGAAUAACAGCCCCCUAAAGAUACCCAUGUUCUAAUCCCUAGAACGUGUGAAUGUUAACCUUAUAUGGCAAGAAAAGGAUUUUAUAGAUGUGAUUAAGUUUAAGUUCUAAAAAUGGAGAGGUUAUCCCGGAUUAUCUGAGUGGGUCCGAUCCGCAAUCACGAGACGGAGGCAGAGGCAGAUGAUCGACCCCAGACAGGAGAGGAGAAUGCAGCAGGGCCCGCAGAGGCAGAGGCUGGAAUGGAGCAGCCCCAAGCCAAAGCAUGCUGGCCACCACCAGAAGCCAGAGUACGUGAGGCACAGACCCUUCCCUGGAGCCUCCAGGGAAGCACAGCCCUGCUGACACCUUGAUUUGGGCCCAUUGAGACUUAUUUUGGACCUUUGGCCUCUAGAACUAUGACAGAAUACAUUUCUGUUUUUUACACACUUUGUGUGUAAGACUGUGUUACCGCAGUUGCAGGAAACUCACACCAGGGACUAGAGCAGCACUGGUGGUGACCGCUGGUGCUGGCAGAUCUGUCCAAGUGGACCAGGCCCUGGUUCCACAAGUGAGGCCCUCAGGCAGAGGGCAGGUCUGCACACCUGGAAGGGAGGUGGUGAUUAGGUAAUGAACAGUUCUUCCAUUCCUGUCCCAAUUGAACAUGGUGGUCCCCUCUCUCCUAUUCACCCUCGUCCAGCCUCCUCCCCACCAACCCCAUCUGCCUCCUGAAAGGGCACUUACCUUCACCUUGCUGCUGCUCUGAUGUAUUUGUUUUUGCACUGCUAUAAAUAAAUACCUGAGCCUGGGUAAUUUAUAAAGACAAGAGGUUGAAUUGGCUCAUGGUCCUGCAGGCUGUACAGGAAGCAUGGCGGCAUCUGCUUCUGGGGAGGCCUGAGGGAGUUUUACUCAUGGUGGAAGGCAAAGUGGGAGCAGGCGUCUUACACGGCAGGUGCAGGACCCAGAGAGAGAACAGGGAAGUGCCACACACUUUUAAACAACCAGAUCUCACUAGAACUCACUCACUGUCUCAAGAACAGCACCCAGGGGGAUGGUGUUAAUCCAUUCAUGAGAAUCCACCCCCAUCAUUCAGUCACCUCCCACAAGGCCCCACCUCCAACACUGCGGAUUACAUUUCAACCUGAGAUUUGGGUGGGGACACCGAUUCAAACCACAUCACCCGAUAUUUACCCAUAGGUCUCAGGGCUUCUGCCCUCUCCCCAGGGUGUCAAUAUAGGCUAAGUCUAUGGUCUGUGCAGGAACCCAAGCCUGAAGCAGGGGGCCUGACUGUACAUUGUGAAGUCUGACAUGGGUGGUGAGUGUCCGCCUCACUCCCUGCCACCUCCCUGCAUCAGAGGUGAGUGGAGCCAACUCACCUUCUUCUUCCUCAAGGCCCCACUGAGACCCAGGACCAGCCCCAGGGUCUUGUGAACUCUCCCUUCUUUCCUGCCUGUCCCCACCUGCCACACACACACACACACACACACACACACACACACACACACACACACACAGAGUAACGUAAAGGUUAAGAAGUCUUACUCUUUCUUUCUUUCUUUUUGUGAUGGAGUAUUGCUCCAUCACAAAAGAGAUCUUGGCUGCAGGCUGAUCUCGGCUCACUGCAAACUGUGCCUCCUGGGUUCAAGUGAUUAUCCUGUCUCAGCCUCCUGAGUAGCUGGGAUUACAGGUAAGCUCCACCACAGCCAGGUAAUUUUUGUGUUUUUAGUAGAGAUAAGGUUUCACCAUAUUGGCCAGGCUGGUCUCGAACUCCUGACCUCAGGUAAUCCACCCGCCUCAGCCUCCCAAAGUGCUGGGAUUACAGGCAUGAGCCACUGUGCCUGGCCAAGAGGCACUUGUUAAAGACCACAUCCUUAC